This is a long non-coding RNA of Cannabis sativa, 4495 nucleotides long. RefSeq lists it as uncharacterized. The record is from RefSeq and is a predicted model, not a curated record. The transcript has 2 exons. NCBI's taxonomy places the organism in Eukaryota, Viridiplantae, Streptophyta, Magnoliopsida, Rosales, Cannabaceae.
UAAAAUAAAUUUCAAAUCUUUUAUUAGAGAUGGUGUCAGGAUUAAUAUUUGUGAAGGAGAAAAAAAUACGUUAGGUGUAGAUAAGAAAUUAUUAUAAUAGAAUGAGAAUCUGUAUACUCUUUAUGUAAUUUUAUGGAUGUAGCAAAAGUAGGUUAAUACUAAAAUUAUAAAUGCAUUGAGUUUUAAUAUGUAAUGAGCUGUAAAGUAAUAUAUAAUAAUUAGUAUUAAAGGGGAAGAAGAUGGAUAUUUAUAGAGAGGUCACGUGAGUAGAGUAAUGUAAUCCAGGGUAGUUACGCGAAGAGAGCACGUGAACACUGAAAUAGAGAAAGCAAAUGUAAAUAAAAGCAACGGCAAGGGCAUAGUUGGAGUGGAAAAGAAAACCAUCUACGAAGUCGGUGGUUGUAUACGUGGCAACAUCUGGUUGUGCAACGGGGAGUAUAAAAUUACGAGGGUGAGAGAAAGAGAGAGUAAGAGGAGAAACUAGAAAGAGAAAGAGAGAGAGAGACAUGGAGAUAUGGAGAUAGAGAGAGAGAGGUUGGGGGUUGAUAUUUGAUUCAGUUACCAGCGGUCUCUAAUUCGCUUGGUGCAGGUCGGGAACCGGUUCGCAAUGGGAUUGGAUUUUUUUUUUUUGGAGCGAAAUGGAUCCCGCCUUGCAUCAACUGAAUCGGAGACCGCGGUGAGGAGGGUUUCCUAUGCUUCAAUCUUCGUAUCCAGAUUCAUAUGCAUUUUUCUUCUUUCUUAUGAGUUCAGAUCUCAUCUCAGGUUCUAUUGAUUUAAACUUUUUUCAUUCUUUCUUUGUUUUGAAUUUUUUGUUUUUCGAUUUGCAAGAUCUACCUACUUCUUGAUUACGUUUUCGAUUCAAUUAGACACUGCGAUUUCUGUUUUCUUGCAUUUAUGUGUGGGCGCGGUUGUCGGAGUUUGGUUUUUGAUGUUAUUAUACUGAUAAGCUGCCUUUAAUUUCAUUUGGAAAUGGAUUUAUGAUUUUGUUUGCUCUUUUUGAUAAUUUAAGAGCUGACUGACUGAGCAUCUUAUUCUUUGUAAAUCGAAUCUAUUGACUUCUCACUCGUACUUUAGCAAACCAAAUGUGAAACAGAAAAUAAGUAUAUACCAAUAAUAAUAAUAAUAAUAUAAUUUAGUAGUUUUAUUAGCUAAAUCAGGCCAUCUAUUAUUUGGCAACAUUUUUUCAUUUCGGUUCUUCUUAUGGUAUGAGUUGUUAACAUUAGUUAAUUCUUUUUGGGGUCCUCCGCCUAUUUUCCCCAUAAACUCACACAGCUCAUAUGCCAUUAUUAAACAUUGCUGCUUUUUUUUUAGGCUGUAACAGUCGAAAACAGAUUCAAAUAAGUGAUUACACACUUGCAGCCUCAUUCCCACUUUGGGGAAAUUCUUUUCUUAAGCAAUGAAACAAAGAAUAAUUAAUACGAAUAGCAUUAGAAUAGUAGCCCUGAUUUUAUUAAUUUAUGUUUGUAUUUCCUUUUACUUUUCUUAGUUUCUUUUUUAUUUUUAUUUUGCUUCUCAUUGUUAUUAAUGUUUUCAUGUAAAAAAUAGAAACCUUGUCAGACAUUUAGUUUAAGCAGUAGGCAGUCGGCUUUUAAUACAUAUAGCAUAUUUAUAUAGCCAUGUGUGUAGAAAAUCCGAGUUACUAGCUCAAAUGGUUUUUUUUUUUUUAGUUCAAAAUUUUUGUGUGCAGGAGAGGACUGUAUUUGUGCUUUUUUUUUUAUGCUUUAAUUUUAGUUUUAUGGGGGUAUACUACAUUCAAGGUUGUCCAAUUAUUAUGUUAUGUGGAAUUGAAAAGUACAGGUGGUCCAAGUUUUCUAUUUCGUGCUGGACAAUGCAGCAAUGAAGCCUCAUUGUCUUGGUAAUUAGUAUCGGUACCAGGGAAUGGUGAAGACUUAACUUAUGGUUCCCUAUAAUACUUCAGCUCUGAGAAAAUACCCAACUUGUGCCAAAACCAAUGCAUUAUAUUAAUAUACCAAACCGAAAGAUGGAGUGAGAAGGAGUUGACAAUUGACAAAGUUGGAAUUUCAACUCAAACAAAUGAUCUUUCCUUCCAAUAUACUAAGCCACCUUGUUCCAUGAACAAAAAAAUCUAUAAAUGGGAGGCAAACUUUACAUAUGUUUGAAAAAAACGAAGAGCAUUUCCUCUGCACAUGUGUACUGUUUUAAUUCCUAGUUUAAAACAUAUAUAUAUUUAUAUAUUUAUAUAUAGAGAAAUGCUAAAGGGUACUAGUGGUGUCUAGCAUCUUCUUAUGUGUCAGUAUUGCUAUUGGUCUAACUAAGUAUCGGGUUCCACAUAGUUUAACAUAUUAGUUUUUAGGAAGUAUCGUUAGCCAAUCGCAACGUGACAUGUCGAGAAGGUACUAGACACCACUGGUGUCUAAUAGCAAUGCUCUUAUAUAUAUAUAUGAAAAGAAGAGAAUAUGUUAGCAUUUCUUUAUAGUAUAUGUGAAUGUAAGAUCCUCAUAUUCGAGGCAGAUGCUAUUAUCUAUGCUUAACUUGCUUAGAACAUGGUAAUAUUGAACUUGAAACCGAAUAAACAUAUUUUAUUAUCGUAUAAACAUAUUUCAAAUACUCGAGAAGGGUAAUUUGUUAUUGUAGAUGUAGAGCAUUGAGAAGCGAUCCGUCAUAGGACAAUAAUCAUAGAGUUAUUUAUAUGUUAAAUUUUGCAUGUUGUACUUGAUAUUAAAUUUAGUGUAAGCCUUGUGUUGAAGAAUUUUGUGAUGUGUGAAGUGUUAUAGAAUACGUAUAACGAUGCUUCGGAGGUGAUCCUAAUUCCUAUAUGUUCUUUUUUUAGAAUGAUUUUUGUUUUAGGUACAAUCCUAUCUUACUAUAAUAAUGAUAAUAACAACAACAACAUUAAAGUAUUGUUACCCGCAUUUUGACAUUAUAUAUAUUGGAAAUGUUUAUGGUAGAGUUUUUGGUUUUAUCUCUAUAAUAGGAAUAUUUUUUUAACUCUUGAUUGUUGAUCUAAUGGUAAUAAAGUUGAGGAAAUAUGAUAGUAAUAGUAGAACCUAGUUAGUAAUAUUUUUACACAUUUUUUAUCUUUACACUAAUGUCUUUUUUUUUUUUUUUUUUUAAAAAAAAAAAAAUAAAUUUAAUGGUUAGAUAUUUUUUAGUACACUUAAUUAGUAAUUUUUUAUUUUUUUCAUAUUCUUCUAAAGAUAUUUUUUUUAGUAUGUUGCGUUUAAAAAUAUUUAUUUUAAUAAGCUUGCUGAGGAUUAAUUGUUUUUUAAAAUUUAUUUUCUAAAGAUUAUAUUUUAUGUCUUUCUUAGAUUUAUUUUCUUUAUAAAAUUAGUUUUUGAGUACUACAAUUUUCUGGGUCAUAAAAAAAAUUUAAUAAGUACAGUAAUUCAUAAUAAAAUAUAAAUUAAUAUGUAUACAUCAAUGUGUAUUUAAAUAAGCAUAUAAUCAACUAAUUCAUAUUAAAAUAAAUGAGUAAUUUGUGGUAUAAAUAUCUAAACUUAAUUUUCGAUUGCAGAUAAAUAUUUAAGUUUAAUUUUUGACAGUAAUAAUACCUAAACUAAAAUUUUGGAACUUCCCUAGGUACUUGGUCAUUAAGUGUUAAGUUAAUGGCCACAUGGUAGACCCUAAUUUGUCUAGAUCAUUAAAUUUUAUUUUUUAUUUAAAAUUAAUUUAAAUAUACCAAUAAAAAAUAACACGUGAAUAAUAAGUUGGCAUUUAAUGGCCAAGUAACUAGGAAAGUUCUAGAAAUAUAACUUAUGUAAUACCGUAAAAAGAAUAAAACUUAGGUAUUUAUCUGCAAUAAAGAAUUAAACUUAAGUAUUUAUGUCGCAAAUUACUCAAAAAUAAAUUAAUAAACAUUUUUUAAUUCAUAUUAAAAUAAAUUAAUAUUUUACACAAGAUUGUGUAAUUGGUUUGAAUUUAUUGAACCAAAACCUUACUUCUGUUUUAUUGAAAUGUUGUAGUGCCAAUUAGUGCAUUGUAAACAAUGUUAUAUUACAUGUGAUAUUUGGAUUGGGAUUGAAUUUUCUUGUGCUCGUCAUGCUUUACAGUUGGAGUGGCAAUUAGUGUUCGUGUGUUGUGUUCGUGUUGUGCUGAGGUCUUAAAUUUACUAAAAAGUUGCUGACACGAACACGACACGUGACACGAAGAAAUUAAAAAGCAGACACGAACACGACUCGAAUAAGUUCGUGUCGUGUCAAACCCACAAAAUCGCAUAUCGUGUUGGCGGGUUGUAAACUAAAUUGUUGAUUUUAAUGUCAUCAUGCUAUGUUCGUGUUAUGUAGAAUUUUCAAAUUUAUUUUAGAUGGCAGACACGAACACGACCGGUAACAUAAAAAAUCGAUAAAACACAAAUGCAAGUAGCAAAAUUUUUGUGUCAUCAUGUCAAACUAAUAAAAUCUCGAGUCGUGUUCAUGUCGAAUUUGCGUAUCGUGACCUAAAUUGUUGUUGGGAUUUAUGCCCUAAAUAAAGCUUCAUUUCAAUGUAAUCCAGAUUAUUCAAUAUCAACAAAGAAGCAGAAGUAUUUUUCAUUCAA